GGCCUAGUAGUGUACUGGUAACACAUCCUUGUCUAAUGAAAAAUUCCCAUCUUAGUGGAGGAAGCACCCUGUUCAAUUCGGGGCUGGGCCA
Mycena galericulata is the source of this 91-nucleotide non-coding RNA. The record is from the annotation of a GenBank genome assembly. Lineage: Eukaryota; Fungi; Basidiomycota; Agaricomycetes; Agaricales; Mycenaceae.